CCGCCCUCGGUCUAGUCGGACCUCUCUCCACGACAGGGUUUUCUCUCCUGCCAAGGAGCAGCUGAUCUUCAGCAUCCAGCAUCCCCCAAACCUGCCACUUCUGAGCUGUAUCAGGAGACCUGCUGCUUCCUGUUCUGUCUGAUGAGGAGACUGAGGCCCAACGAGGAAAAAGAUGGUGUUGCUGGGGGCCCAGGGAU
Balaenoptera acutorostrata (minke whale) is the source of this 197-nucleotide long non-coding RNA. RefSeq lists it as uncharacterized. NCBI's taxonomy places the organism in Eukaryota, Metazoa, Chordata, Mammalia, Artiodactyla, Balaenopteridae. The record is from RefSeq and is a predicted model, not a curated record. The transcript has 3 exons.